This 72-nucleotide ribosomal RNA is filed under the name Hematodinium sp. RNAcentral's name for it is "partial small subunit ribosomal RNA". The record is from RNAcentral. Lineage: Eukaryota; Dinophyceae; Syndiniales; Syndiniaceae.
UGGAAUCCUCUUACUAACAAUAUAUCCUGAAAUCAAGAGAGAUGUCGUAAGUUGUCUUGAUGUAAACGUACC